RNAcentral lists this long non-coding RNA (657 nucleotides) under Mytilus galloprovincialis (Mediterranean mussel). The record is from RNAcentral. Lineage: Eukaryota; Metazoa; Mollusca; Bivalvia; Mytilida; Mytilidae.
CUAAAAGUUGCCCCAACUUUUUAACUCUUAACGCAAGAGAUAAACUGAUAUGGCUUAUGAACGAAGAAGAUAAGUCUAUUCUCACUGCUGCAUGUAAAUUUAUUUCGAAAAAUUGUUAAUUAUGUGGCUUUCUUGUCUGCUUCAGACACGAGGAGGACUGUGUAAAUACUACAGCUCCUUGAGUACCGCCCCUUGGUGUCUGUUGCAGUAGGGAAACCUUCACUAUUCUCAAUACCUGUUUACUGCAGUAUAUGUUAUUUGCUGUGACUAUACAUAAACUUUUUUCAUUUGUGUUUGUUUUUCUGCAUCAGAUACGAGGAGGAUUGUUAGAGCUUUUAAGAUCACAAUCCUAGAGCAUCGUCCCUUGGUGUCUGUUGCAGCUAAACAAUCAUUUAUUUUAUAUUUAUAUUUUAUAUUUAUACAUUUUCAGCAAAAUAUUAUAAAAUCAAGUGAGAAAAAAAAAAAAGUAAAUAAAUAAAUGGGGUUUGCCACAUCUCUGGAGUAGCAACUCUCAAAUACUUUUUUAUUUAACAAAUAAUACCUGUAUGACUAUUUCAAUAGUUUAUUUUACAAUGUUAUGUAAAAUACUGUAUGUUGUAUCAAUUAUAUAUGUUAUGUGUAUAUGCCCCCCUGGGGACCUAAUUUGGAAAAUAAAAU